UACGUGAGGGGCGAACGUUGUUCGGUGUCACUGGGCUUAAAGGGUGCGUAGGUGGUUCUGUAAGUAAGGUGUGAAAUCCCUCGGCUUACCCGGGGAAUUGCAUUUUAUACUGCAGGACUUGAGGACCAGAGGGGAAAAGGGAACUCCAGGUGUAGCGGUGAAAUGCGUAGAUAUCUGGAGGAACACCGGUGGCGAAGGCGGCAUCCUGGACCAACACUGACGCUGAGGAGCGAAAGCCAGGGGAGCAAACGGG
RNAcentral lists this ribosomal RNA (253 nucleotides) under uncultured bacterium. RNAcentral's name for it is "partial 16S ribosomal RNA". It matches the Rfam family "Bacterial small subunit ribosomal RNA", at positions 524 to 776 of the family's 1533-position model. The record is from RNAcentral.